RNAcentral lists this transfer RNA (66 nucleotides) under Fuerstiella sp. RNAcentral's name for it is "tRNA-Val". The record is from RNAcentral. Lineage: Bacteria; Pseudomonadati; Planctomycetota; Planctomycetia; Planctomycetales; Planctomycetaceae.
GGGCGAUUAGCUCAGUUGGCUGGAGCGCCACGUUUACACCGUGGGGGUCGAGCCCCUCAUCGCCCA